GCAUUCAGUCAUAGAAUUGCAUUAUGGUCCGUGGUAACGGAAUCCAUAACGCAAUUCUGCUUUUACCACUAAAGGAAGUGUGAACGAAUUUCAUAACAUAAAAUUCACUCAUCUCUAACGGCAGGGAUGACAUUUGUUUUAAAAAUCACAAAGACCAAAACUGGCUGCAGUGGAAAAGGAUAAAAGUCUAAAAUGCUUGCAAGUCAAAUAAACCCUCCAAUGUAUAAAUUAUAGCACACAGUUUCUCAACAAACCCUUCUAUUUCUUGUGAACAACAGAAUGAAACAGCAGCAUUGGUUUAUCAUUACAUUUUCUUAACAUCUAGGGGUUCAAUGUAUAUACAAUAAUUACUGGAAAUUAAAAAUACAGUAGCUUAAAAAAAUAAGACUUUCCAAAAACAAAAAAAUAUAUAUACACAUAAAAUGCAUUAAUACACCUUAAGAAAUUAUGUCGUAAGGCUAGUUGCACACUUG
Long non-coding RNA from Bufo bufo (common toad), 473 nucleotides. RefSeq lists it as uncharacterized. The transcript has 3 exons. NCBI's taxonomy places the organism in Eukaryota, Metazoa, Chordata, Amphibia, Anura, Bufonidae. The record is from RefSeq and is a predicted model, not a curated record.